AGUGAACGCUGGCGGUAGGCCUAACACAUGCAAGUCGAACGGCAGCACAGUAAGAGCUUGCUCUUACGGGUGGCGAGUGGCGGACGGGUGAGGAAUACAUCGGAAUCUACUUUUUCGUGGGGGAUAACGUAGGGAAACUUACGCUAAUGCCGCAUACGACCUACGGGUGAAAGCAGGGGAUCUUCGGACCUUGCGCGAUUGAAUGAGCCGAUGUCGGAUUAGCUAGUUGGCGGGGUGAAGGCCCACCAAGGCGACGAUCCGUAGCUGGUCUGAGAGGAUGAUCAGCCACACUGGAACUGAGACACGGUCCAGACUCCUACGGGAGGCAGCAGUGGGGAAUAUUGGACAAUGGGCGCAAGCCUGAUCCAGCCAUACCGCGUGGGUGAAGAAGGCCUUCGGGUUGUAAAGCCCUUUUGUUGGGAAAGAAAAGCAGCAGGUUAAUACCCCGCUGUUCUGACGGUACCCAAAGAAUAAGCACCGGCUAACUUCGUG
This 492-nucleotide ribosomal RNA is filed under the name uncultured bacterium. RNAcentral's name for it is "partial 16S ribosomal RNA". It matches the Rfam family "Bacterial small subunit ribosomal RNA", at positions 29 to 507 of the family's 1533-position model. The record is from RNAcentral.